Molecule: long non-coding RNA, 2075 nt
Filed under: Microcebus murinus (gray mouse lemur)
Lineage: Eukaryota; Metazoa; Chordata; Mammalia; Primates; Cheirogaleidae
Description: lncRNA (ENSMICG00000048381.1)
Source: RNAcentral
AUUUAGCCAAAACUAAGUAAGACAAUUGCCAAAGGGUGGGAGUAAGUAGAGAUAUUGUGAAAUUUUAUUCUGCAAAGCUGAUCCUAAGCCUACUAAAGCAACCCCUGCUGGCUUCUGGGCCUUCGUUGGGAACAUCAGAAGGACACUCCUUUCAGGGUAAUGCACACCCUGAACGCAGGAAUGAGGAACAGAGGAAAAGAGAAAUAAAUGAACCCAAUUCUAUCACCUAAUAAGACUUGGAACUAGGAAAAAUCUUGGCUCCGGUUUGCUGUGAAGUUGAAACAGAUUUUUUUGCUCCGUUCAUACUGAAAAGCACACCUGCACAACCUUCUCUUUCCUGACUCGAAGAGUGCCUUUCAAACAAUCCAGGGGAAAGACAGCCCUCGAUGAUGUAACGUCAUCUUGAUUCCCUUUUCAGCAAAAAUCUCAACCUAUUUCCAUGCAUCAGGUUCCAGUCUGUCAAGACUCUGAAAAUGAUACGGACAGCGUCAAAAUGAUGACGUCUGGACCUGGUACAGGUGUGACGUUGGGUGGGCAAAUGACCACUGCCUUUUGGCACCCCCGGCUCAUCCCCACGAUCCAGCAACUCAAGAGUUAACACAAGCUCCAGCAGGAUCCGCCAAGACUGGCUGAUGUCCAUUGGAACGAUUGAAGGACUGAACGUGAUGAAGAUCAAACCCAAUUCCAGGCAAGCAAAAGGGUUUCACUUCCUAGGGAGAAAUGUGCAGCCCAUUUGCCCACCAGCCCCUCAGAUAGGCCAGGAGUUUUGCCCACGACCAGCAGGCGAUCAUACUGAGGGGAGUUCCGAGAAAGCAUCAGAACCCGUCCGCUACUAAGAGGUUGCUGACAGUGUGCCCCCCGGAGAUUGUAUUCUUCCAUCUGCUGCCAUAUUGCUGGGACCACCACCACUUGCUCUGUCUGGAGGAAAUUCCAUGUUAUUAUCUCAACCCCAGUGGUUCUCAAACUUGAACCUUCAUCAGAGUCACAUGGAGGGUUUGUUAAAACACAGACUUGUGGACUUCACCCCUAGACCUUCAGGCUCCAUGGCUGUCGGAUAGGCCCUGAGAAUUUGCAUUUCUGACGAGCUCCCAGACGAUAUUGAUGCCGCUGGUCUGCCUGUCCACCACGUUCUGAAGACCACUGCUGUAAAGCCUGUUUUCUCCAGUGCCUACCACUCUGGGGUGUUCUCGGGUCAAGAAGACGUUGAACCUGGUGAACAAGUCGGGAGACAAAGCCCUGUUAAGGGUCUCAGAGUAAGCUCACUGAGUCUCUAGGGAAUAGGGGACAGAGUAAGAUUUUAGCCCUGCAAUUUGCCUGGGGCAGAAUGUAUGACGUUUGUUAGCUCAUCCUACUGAAGCUGCCCUCUGGUGCGCUGUGGACAAGGUGAUUUCUGUGCCAUACGUCAUGUACAGAGAUUCCCCUGGUUUCUGAGAAAGAAGUUGCACUAAGGAAAGAAGAUAUGAUGGCAAAGAAAGCUGUCAUUUUAUACCCCACCGGCUUCACUGAGACAACAGAUGUCCUUUUAGAAAAGGAAGAGGCAUUGAUGCAGCAUCUACCGAGUGAGGGACUGUGGUAAGUACUCCACACAUAUCACUUUCUGCCAUGUAAAAAAAUCUGCAAGGUCUGUAUUAUUUUCAUUUUGUAAAUGAGGAAACUGAGGCUCAGAUACAUUAAGAAACAUGCUCAGAACCACAAAGCUAGUAAUUGGCAGAAGCAGGAUUUAAAAACAUUCUUAUCCCAAAUCUGUGUUCUCUUGAUUUGCCAUUGGAAAUUCAGAGAUAUUUAUAAAAACAUGCAGUUUUUAAAAUAAGAUAUUACUUCUUAAUUUAAUUUAAUUUAAAAGUAAGGGCCAAGAAGGUACAGGCACGACUAUGUGGGAAUUAUAGAUACAAGGGUAAAGAACACAAAAUGUGCUAAAUCCGGACAUCUAGAGAUAUGGACGUUGAUCUGAUUGGCUGUUAAGGUUUCUUCCUUCCUCUGCCCACUUUGGUGGUUUUCUCAGUAAGAGUUCAGAAAAACUAAGAUGCAGAGGGACGACCUGGUGAAUUUUUCAUGUGAAGUGUUUUUUCAUGGAC